UAAGGAAUAUUGGUCAAUGGACGCAAGUCUGAACCAGCCAUGCCGCGUGGAGGAUGAAGGUCCUCUGGAUUGUAAACUUCUUUUAUCGGAGAAGAAACCCACGAAUUCUUUUGUGGUUGACGGUACCCGAUGAAUAAGCACCGGCUAACUCCGUGCCAGCAGCCGCGGUAAUACGGAGGGUGCAAGCGUUAUCCGGAUUCACUGGGUUUAAAGGGWGCGUAGGUGGGCUGGUAAGUCAGUGGUGAAAUCUCCGGGCUUAACUCGGAAACUGCCGUUGAUACUAUCWGUCUUGAAUGUUGUGGAGGUAAGCGGAAUAUGUCAUGUAGCGGUGAAAUGCUUAGAUAUGACAUAGAACACCGAUAGCGAAGGCAGCUUGCUACACWAUGAUUGACACUGAGGCUCGAAAGCGUGGGGAUCAAACAGGAUUAGAUACCCUGGUAGUCCACGCCCUAAACGAUGGAUACUCGACAUACGCGAUACACAGUGUGUGUCUGAGCGAAAGCAUUAAGUAUCCCACCUGGGAAGUACGACCGCAAGGUUG
Molecule: ribosomal RNA, 541 nt
Filed under: uncultured bacterium
Lineage: Bacteria
Description: bacterial SSU rRNA
Rfam family: Bacterial small subunit ribosomal RNA
Source: RNAcentral